GGGUUGUGAGGUUAAGCGACUAAGCGUACACGGUGGAUGCCCUGGCAGUCAGAGGCGAUGAAGGACGUGCUAAUCUGCGAAAAGCGUCGGUAAGGUGAUAUGAACCGUUAUAACCGGCGAUGUCCGAAUGGGGAAACCCAGUGUGAUUCGUCACACUAUCGUUAACUGAAUACAUAGGUUAACGAGGCGAACCGGGGGAACUGAAACAUCUAAGUACCCCGAGGAAAAGAAAUCAACCGAGAUUCCCCCAGUAGCGGCGAGCGAACGGGGAGCAGCCCAGAGUCUGAAUCAGCUUGUGUGUUAGUGGAACGGUCUGGAAAGUCCGACGGUACAGGGUGAUAGUCCCGUACACCAAAAUGCACAGGCUGUGAACUCGAAGAGUAGGGCGGGACACGUGGUAUCCUGUCUGAAUAUGGGGGGACCAUCCUCCAAGGCUAAAUACUCCUGACUGACCGAUAGUGAACCAGUACCGUGAGGGAAAGGCGAAAAGAACCCCGGCGAGGGGAGUGAAAAAGAACCUGAAACCGUGUACGUACAAGCAGUGGGAGCACCUUCGGGUGUGACUGCGUACCUUUUGUAUAAUGGGUCAGCGACUUAUAUUCUGUAGCAAGGUUAACCGUAUAGGGAGCCGCAGGGAAACCGAGUCUUAACUGGGCGUUAAGUUGCAGGGUAUAGACCCGAAACCCGGUGAUCUAGCCAUGGGCAGGUUGAAGGUUGGGUAACACUAACUGGAGGACCGAACCGACUAAUGUUGAAAAAUUAGCGGAUGACUUGUGGCUGGGGUGAAAGGCCAAUCAAACCGGGAGAUAGCUGGUUCUCCCCGAAAGCUAUUUAGGUAGCGCCUCGUGAACUCAUCUUCGGGGGUAGAGCACUGUUUCGGCUAGGGGGUCAUCCCGACUUACCAACCCGAUGCAAACUACGAAUACCGAAGAAUGUUAUCACGGGAGACACACGGCGGGUGCUAACGUCCGUCGUGAAGAGGAAACAACCCAGACCGCCAGCUAAGGUCCCAAAGUCAUGGUUAAGUGGGAAACGAUGUGGGAAGGCACAGACAGCCAGGAUGUUGGCUUAGAAGCAGCCAUCAUUUAAAGAAAGCGUAAUAGCUCACUGGUCGAGUCGGCCUGCGCGGAAGAUGUAACGGGGCUAAACCAUGCACCGAAGCUGCGGCAGCGACACUAUGUGUUGUUGGGUAGGGGAGCGUUCUGUAAGCCUGCGAAGGUGACCUGUGAGGGUUGCUGGAGGUAUCAGAAGUGCGAAUGCUGACAUAAGUAACGAUAAAGCGGGUGAAAAGCCCGCUCGCCGGAAGACCAAGGGUUCCUGUCCAACGUUAAUCGGGGCAGGGUGAGUCGACCCCUAAGGCGAGGCCGAAAGGCGUAGUCGAUGGGAAACAGGUUAAUAUUCCUGUACUUGGUGUUACUGCGAAGGGGGGACGGAGAAGGCUAUGUUAGCCGGGCGACGGUUGUCCCGGUUUAAGCAUGUAGGCUGGUUAUCCAGGCAAAUCCGGAUAAUCAAGGCUGAGGUGUGAUGACGAGGCACUACGGUGCUGAAGUAACAAAUGCCCUGCUUCCAGGAAAAGCCUCUAAGCAUCAGGUAACAUCAAAUCGUACCCCAAACCGACACAGGUGGUCAGGUAGAGAAUACCAAGGCGCUUGAGAGAACUCGGGUGAAGGAACUAGGCAAAAUGGUGCCGUAACUUCGGGAGAAGGCACGCUGGUGUGUAGGUGAAGCCCCUGCGGGUGGAGCUGAGACCAGUCGAAGAUACCAGCUGGCUGCAACUGUUUAUUAAAAACACAGCACUGUGCAAACACGAAAGUGGACGUAUACGGUGUGACGCCUGCCCGGUGCCGGAAGGUUAAUUGAUGGGGUUAUCCGUAAGGAGAAGCUCUUGAUCGAAGCCCCGGUAAACGGCGGCCGUAACUAUAACGGUCCUAAGGUAGCGAAAUUCCUUGUCGGGUAAGUUCCGACCUGCACGAAUGGCGUAAUGAUGGCCAGGCUGUCUCCACCCGAGACUCAGUGAAAUUGAACUCGCUGUGAAGAUGCAGUGUACCCGCGGCAAGACGGAAAGACCCCGUGAACCUUUACUAUAGCUUGACACUGAACAUUGAGCCUUGAUGUGUAGGAUAGGUGGGAGGCUUUGAAGCGUGGACGCCAGUCUGCGUGGAGCCAACCUUGAAAUACCACCCUUUAAUGUUUGAUGUUCUAACGUUGGCCCCUGACCGGGGUUGCGGACAGUGUCUGGUGGGUAGUUUGACUGGGGCGGUCUCCUCCCAAAGCGUAACGGAGGAGCACGAAGGUUAGCUAAUCCUGGUCGGACAUCAGGAGGUUAGUGCAAUGGCAUAAGCUAGCUUGACUGCGAGCGUGACGGCGCGAGCAGGUGCGAAAGCAGGUCAUAGUGAUCCGGUGGUUCUGAAUGGAAGGGCCAUCGCUCAACGGAUAAAAGGUACUCCGGGGAUAACAGGCUGAUACCGCCCAAGAGUUCAUAUCGACGGCGGUGUUUGGCACCUCGAUGUCGGCUCAUCACAUCCUGGGGCUGAAGUAGGUCCCAAGGGUAUGGCUGUUCGCCAUUUAAAGUGGUACGCGAGCUGGGUUUAGAACGUCGUGAGACAGUUCGGUCCCUAUCUGCCGUGGGCGCUGGAGAAUUGAGGGGGGCUGCUCCUAGUACGAGAGGACCGGAGUGGACGCAUCACUGGUGUUCGGGUUGUCAUGCCAAUGGCACUGCCCGGUAGCUAAAUGCGGAAGAGAUAAGUGCUGAAAGCAUCUAAGCACGAAACUUGCCCCGAGAUGAGUUCUCCCUGAGACUUUAAGUCUCCUGAAGGAACGUUGAAGACGACGACGUUGAUAGGCCGGGUGUGUAAGCGCAGCGAUGCGUUGAGCUAACCGGUACUAAUGAACCGUGAGGCUUAACCUUACAACGCCGAAG
RNAcentral lists this ribosomal RNA (2920 nucleotides) under Klebsiella pneumoniae. RNAcentral's name for it is "23S ribosomal RNA". It matches the Rfam family "Bacterial large subunit ribosomal RNA". The record is from RNAcentral. Lineage: Bacteria; Pseudomonadati; Pseudomonadota; Gammaproteobacteria; Enterobacterales; Enterobacteriaceae.